Helianthus annuus (common sunflower) is the source of this 398-nucleotide long non-coding RNA. RefSeq lists it as uncharacterized. The record is from RefSeq and is a predicted model, not a curated record. Lineage: Eukaryota; Viridiplantae; Streptophyta; Magnoliopsida; Asterales; Asteraceae. The transcript has 3 exons.
ACAAGAACAUAGGGGCGACACAAGGCUCCCCACCAAACCCUAGCUCUUGUCAAAACUGAUCAAAUUGAGAGUUCAAAUCAGUACCAAAUCGAUUUUGAAGCACGAAUUAGUGAUCACCUUGUUGAAGGGAUCAUAAGGAAAGGAAACCAGAGCGUCAAGUGGACAAGCCGGUGGUGACGCGCGAUUGAAAGGGGUGCUUUGAAAGUUUUGACCUUAGGUGAUGUUGGUCAUGCUCCGGAUGACGAUCAAGCAACAAUUCAAGAACCAAAUACUAUCCUUUGAAGCUUCUGCGGUUAUCUAAUUCAGUUAAAAACAAUGUUUAUGUUGUAGACACUUAAAUUGUCGUUUUGGGAUGUUAAACUUAGUUGGUAGUUAACACGAAUAUGGUAUUUUGUAAA